This 250-nucleotide ribosomal RNA is filed under the name uncultured prokaryote. RNAcentral's name for it is "partial 16S ribosomal RNA". It matches the Rfam family "Bacterial small subunit ribosomal RNA", at positions 524 to 773 of the family's 1533-position model. The record is from RNAcentral.
UACGGAAGGUCCGGGCGUUAUCCGGAUUUAUUGGGUUUAAAGGGAGCGUAGGCCGUUCCUUAAGCGUGUUGUGAUAUGUAGGCGCCCAACGUCUGCACUGCAGCGCGAACUGGGGGACUUGAGUACGCAGGAAGCAGGCGGAAUUCGUUGUGUAGCGGUGAAAUGCUUAGAUAUGACGAAGAACUCCGAUUGGGAAGCCAGCCUGCUGUAGCGCCACUGACGCUGAUGCUCGAAAGCGUGGGGAGCAAAC